AAGAACGUGUGAAGCACACUGAAUGAUGAUAAACAUAACUGCAAACAAUAACCAUGCAAAGGCAAAGAAGACCCAAGCCCAACACAUUCUCUGUGUACUACCUAUGCUCACUUGCUGGUGCCAAACCAGAGCAGCAGAAGCAGACUGUGAAACUCAGUGAUGCUACUGCCAUCUCCAGCUGUCCUCCUCUCAUGCUCCCCCACAGGCAGCUAGCUUGGAUAGUGGUGAGUGUUAGCAAUGGAAGUUUGUAGACCAUUUAGACUCAGGAGGGUUGACUGUGUUUUUCUUUUUUUUUUUUUUUUUGCAAAUUUAAAUACUAGGUCCUUCUUUGGGUAUAUAUGUAUACCAUAUGUGCUUUUGUACUGAACGGUGUCGGCACCCUGGAAAAGACUGGGUCCCUUAGCAAAUCUGGAUCCUUUUGCCUUGAUCAAUGGGAGAGACAUUUUCAAGUGACAUUUGAAGGAAACAUUUGCAGACUGGUCAAAGGACAC
Molecule: long non-coding RNA, 491 nt
Filed under: Phasianus colchicus (ring-necked pheasant)
Lineage: Eukaryota; Metazoa; Chordata; Aves; Galliformes; Phasianidae
Description: lncRNA (ENSPCLG00000006464.1)
Source: RNAcentral